This is a non-coding RNA of Faecalibacterium sp. CAG:74, 349 nucleotides long. It matches the Rfam family "transfer-messenger RNA". From Rfam's summary of the family: Bacterial tmRNA, also known as 10Sa RNA or SsrA, is named for its dual tRNA and mRNA-like properties. Its role is to liberate the mRNA from a stalled ribosome. To accomplish this part of the tmRNA is used as a reading frame that ends in a translation stop signal. Lineage: Bacteria; Bacillati; Bacillota; Clostridia; Eubacteriales; Oscillospiraceae. The record is from Rfam.
GGGGAUGAUCCGGUUUCGACGGGGGUUGUCGAGGGCGGGAUAAGCGAGCCGUGGCCCCUGACCACGAUAAAACGGGGAACUUAAAUGUAACUGACAAUAAUCAGUACGCUUUCGCUGCCUAAUUAGGCGCGACGCUGGCCCGGUCUGCCCGCUUGACCGGUUCCCAGCGCCAUUCAAGCGGGGAACGAGCGUAUGUAAGCUUUGCCAUGCGUCCGUAACAUGAAGCUACCAAUCGCUGAAGCCUGACUGCGGGCGUCAUCGUGCGGGAAUUUCAAAUCACAGUCUGCGCUCGGAGAAGGUCCUGCAAGCGAGCCUUCGGACAGGGGUUCGACUCCCCUCAUCUCCACUU